RNAcentral lists this long non-coding RNA (455 nucleotides) under Ricinus communis (castor bean). RNAcentral describes it as "long non-coding RNA (RCOM_LNC001694)". The record is from RNAcentral. Lineage: Eukaryota; Viridiplantae; Streptophyta; Magnoliopsida; Malpighiales; Euphorbiaceae.
UUUGGAUCCAUCCAGCAAUCCUAAUGCUCUCCCCACUCAACACAGCAUGAGCAAGAAGCAUCAUCCGCUUCAUUUUAUAAAAAAGGUGCUUUAAUUUGGCAUAGAGAUCAUAUACUGAAAAUGAAGGAAAGCAAAGAAGAAGAAGAAGAAGAAGAAGAAGAAGACAUGGAUUCUCAUUUUUCUUUUCACAACAAACAGAGAAGAAUAAAAAUCAUGAAAAGCUUCAUGUCCUUUAGGACGAAUCCUUCUGUAUCAUUUAUAGCCACAAGUUUAUUGUUUUCUUAGUACCCAUUAAAAGAUAUUGUCACUUAGAGCAAAGAUAUUCAUGUGGGGAAGAGGGUCAAGUAGUAUUGUUUAGAUAGAGAUUUGGAUUGUUCCUCUUGGUGACUGGUUACCCCUACUUGGCUACUUACAUCACUUCUUCUAUUGCUCGCUCCUAUUGAUUUACAAUUCUA